AGCAAUAUAUGAGACCGGCGCACGGGUGCGUAACGCGUAUGCAACCUACCUUUUACAGGGGAAUAGCCCAGAGAAAUUUGGAUUAAUGCCCCAUGGUAUAUGUAAUUCGCAUGUUUUACAUAUUAAAGUUCCAACGGUAAAAGAUGGGCAUGCGUCCUAUUAGCUAGAUGGUAAGGUAACGGCUUACCAUGGCUACGAUAGGUAGGGGUCCUGAGAGGGAGAUCCCCCACACUGGUACUGAGACACGGACCAGACUCCUACGGGAGGCAGCAGUGAGGAAUAUUGGACAAUGGGCGCAAGCCUGAUCCAGCCAUGCCGCGUGCAGGAAGACGCAUCUAUGGUGUGUAAACUGCUUUUGUACGGGAAGAAACACCCCCUCGUGAGGGGGCUUGACGGUACCGUAAGAAUAAGGAUCGGCUAACUCCGUGCCAGCAGCCGCGGUAAUACGGAGGACCCAAGCGUUAUCCGGAAUCAUUGGGUUUAAAGGGUCCGUAGGCGGUUUGGUAAGUCAGUGGUGAAAGCCCAUCGCUCAACGAUGGAACGGCCAUUGAUACUGCCAGACUUGAAUUAUUGUGAAGUAACUAGAAUAUGUAGUGUAGCGGUGAAAUGCUUAGAUAUUACAUGGAAUACCAAUUGCGAAGGCAGGUUACUAACAAUAUAUUGACGCUGAUGGACGAAAGCGUGGGGAGCGAACAGGAUUAGAUACCCUGGUAGUC
RNAcentral lists this ribosomal RNA (716 nucleotides) under uncultured bacterium. RNAcentral's name for it is "bacterial SSU rRNA". It matches the Rfam family "Bacterial small subunit ribosomal RNA", at positions 81 to 795 of the family's 1533-position model. The record is from RNAcentral.